Camelus dromedarius (Arabian camel) is the source of this 7662-nucleotide long non-coding RNA. RefSeq lists it as uncharacterized. The transcript has 3 exons. Lineage: Eukaryota; Metazoa; Chordata; Mammalia; Artiodactyla; Camelidae. The record is from RefSeq and is a predicted model, not a curated record.
GCUCGUCCUCUGUCCUGCGCCGGCUGGAGUCACGCCUCAGUACCGAGGCUGCGGUUCGCCGUGGCUCCCGCACAGAGUGCAGGGGGCUCCCCAGAGCAAGGGGCGAGGACGAGAGCGCCGGAGGGGCCUGCAGCCGGCUUGCCCGCUCCCCGCCGGGACAGCCGCGCCCUGCGGGCCUGCACACCGCCCUGGUGUCAUCUUGUCGCCUCCAGGCCCUUGACCAGCACUUGCCAGGGCCUCAAGUGGUAGCUGGGUUAGCCGGCGUCAGUGGAGGCUUCCUGUGGUUUUCCUGCGUUUAAACGUCUUUGUCAUCACUCUGCACUCCGCCCACUGAAACCCUUGAGGCAUGGAAGAACAUUCCAGCAGUAAAUCCGGAGUCAACCUCAUCUGAGAAGAUGUGACUCCUGCUGAUUUCAAAGCCGAGGUUGGGCACCGAGGAGGAGAUUUACCGUUUAUCAUCGGAGGACAAAAAUAUGACCUUCCUUCCUUCCUUCCUUCCUUCCUCACUUUUCUAGAAAUAAAAGGAAGAUUCAGAAAGCAAGAGCAUGUCUAUAAAUUUUGACAAAUGAUACCAUCAAAAUGAAGCAAAUGGCCAAAGGGAACUAAAUCCAUCUUUGGUACCCCGACCACCAUCAGCAAAUGCUUGCUUGGGCAGUAACAUUAGUUAGAAUCUAAUGUGAUUCAAUGAAGGGAAAACUGGUCACCAGAAACCUUGUUGGUCCCCCAGUAAAGACACCAUCACUUCUAAGUACCGGGAGGGCCAAAGGCACCCAGAAUUCUUGGGCCUUUUACAUCUUGGUGUGGGCCACCCUUCCCUCCUCCUCCACAACCCCUCCCCGCGUCAUGGCACAGAGCAGGUGCGCACUGAAGGUCCCCUGAGCAAGCGUCAGCACACACAGCAGGGGCAGCAGGGAAGAGAGGCCCGACGCAGGAAGAGUGCGCCGCCAUCCCGGGCCCCAACCCCACCGCCCCAUGUUGGUUCUCCCCACCUUCUAGGGGUCUGAUUCUGCCUGGUAUUUCUGCCAGAGCUAAACAGUCACAGCAGGGGCCCAGGCACAGGUCAUGAGGACAAAGGAAGCAGCAACUCUUUCUAUUUGCACAGCACUCUGCAGUCUGCAAAGCUCUUUCCCAUAAUUGCCUUUUAGAAGGUUAUCAUCACAACCUCUAGAGAUCAGGACACGGAGGCGCAGUGUUAGGGGCUAAAUUAUGGCCCCCUGGACCCAGUGUAAUCACAAGGAUUCUUAAAAGAUCCAAGAGGAAGGUAAGAGGGUCAGAGUGUGAGGUGAGACCCUGGAGGCAGAGGUCAGAGUGAAGUGACUGCUGGCUGUGAGGGUGGAGGACCGGGCCACGACCCAAGAACUGCAGACAGGCUCUAGAAGCUGGAAAAGACAAGAAAACAGAUUCUCCCGGGACCCUCCAGAAGGAACACAGCCCCGCCAACACCUAGAUGUCAGCCCGGUGAAACCCAUUCGGAUUUCCGAUCCCCAGAACUGUAAGGUAACAGAUUUGUGUUGUUGCCACUAAAUUUGUGGUAAUUUUUAAAGCACCCAUGGGAAACGGACACAGGAGGUAAUGCCCAAAAGCAAAGGCUAAAAGGGUGACAUGGUUUUCUGGGGAGCACUUCUGUGGGAGGAGAGGACUGGAGGGAGGGAGAGUGCUCACCAUCCUGUGCCUUUCAGUUCUGGAUAGUUCUUCAACUCUGUGCAUCUGUUUGAUAAACAUGUUUUAAAUUCAGCAGGGGAUCCCUCACAUCCUAGUCACCUAAAGUGAGGAAGAUGUGAGAAAACUGACCGUAGUGUAUCCAGGGACGGAGCCCAAACAAUUAAACAGUCAAUGGGGGUUCCACGUGCACCUACUGUGUGCCCCACACAAACAAGGUGAUACGAGGGAUUUUAAAAGAUGCCUGGGCCCCUGCAUCCAGGAGUCCAUCAGUCCCACUUGCCUCUCGCAUUACCGGACCCAGAGCUGGGCAGAGCUGCCCCGGGUACCAUGGGCCCCAAGGCCGUGGGCACUGCGGAGUCAGCAAAGUCAGGAUGGGUUGGUGAUGUCAAAAGGAAUUGUGGGGUCAUGCGGGGUCAAGCGGGCCUUAAAGAAUCAGAGACUUUUCAUGAGUGGCAGGUAGGAGGGGCCAAGAGCCUUGAAAGGGAGCUGAGAGCUGCGUGUGGUUCACUGUGGAGCCCACCUGGGGGCUCCAUUUGGAUGGGAGUCACCCCAAAGAUGAGAGGCACAGGAGUAUACAGCCCACAACUGCAGAUUUACGCACCUGUUGUAUCCAACCAGGUUUGCCAGGCACUCUUACAUAGCUCAGAUUCAUUAGGAGCAUGAACUUGGAGAGUUCCUGCCCCAGUGAGCAGGUAACACUUAGAGGGGCGCGAAGGAGCCCAUGGCUCUUCCUCUGGGCAUCUUGUCUUCCAUCGAUUCAUUCAACACUCUGUCAGCAUCUGCCACAGGCCAGGACCACUCCAGGCCCCGAGAAUCCUAUGAUGAUCAGGACCACCUGAGAGCCUUCCCUGGGGGCGCAGGUUCCAGUGAGAGGAUUGAUGCUGAACAGGUGCAUUUAGGAGGGCUUUGAGGAAGAGUAAAUCAGGGUGAGGGAUGAGAGAGUGUGCUGCUUCGGAUGGAGAAAUCAAGAAAUGGCUAAGAAGCUGACAUCUGGGAAGAGGGCGUGGCAUGGGGGCAGGACUGACCUUGAUUUACCUGUCUGGGCGUGACUGGUAAAUCUCCAGCAGAACCUAAUGAGUUUCCAUGGUUCAUCCUUUGCUUCUAUCUGUAAGACUAACAACAGUCCCAUUGCCACAGGAAACCAUUCCAGAUGUUUGCCCCCCAGUUGCAAAAGUUAAGGCUCAACCGCUCAGGGUACCAGCAUUUAUCAGCUGUUCACCACACUGAGCUGGGCGCCCUCCAAAGACAGACGCAGACACGUGGUGACCUUACAGAUCAGCACGGGGGCGGUCGGGGCGCCCUGCACGUGCUGUCAUCCCUCAGACCCUUCCCCAGGCCUCCGCGUUCUGUACACGGCCGUGGAGCCACGCACACAUCUAGACACGGUCAUCAGCAGGGUUUGGUGUCACUGUCUUGGGAAACAGUGCACGUCUCUGCGUCCCACUGAGGGCACGAGCCCUGUGGUUAUCUUUUGGCUGGGCCUUCGCCUUAUAAACACAGACACGUGCCUCCGCCACUCAAGCAGAAGGAAUGCGGGCAUGUGGCCUUGGAGGUCUGAAAUGAUCCUCUCCUGAAAUGAUCCAAGACUGCAGAGGUAAGACUGGGUUCAGGGUUCAGCUGCACACUUUGAGAUUUUGCAGUAGUGGUUCCUAAUCUUUGGUGUGCUUAAAAAUCAAUUAGAUGUGUGCUGAAAAUGCUGAUCCCUCGGCCCAGGGAUCCAGAGAUUCUGAUUCAGACGUUCAGUCUGAAGAAGAAGCUGGAAUUCUGGGAUUCACAGCCCUCCAGGAGCUUCGGAUGCUAGUGCUAGUCCUUAACCCAUGGGAAGGACCACAGCCGCAAUGCCCGUAUCUUCAAAACAGAAAAAAGAAAAAAAGAAGAAAAUGAGUGAUGACAGGACAAGGUGCUGUUUGGAUUUGUGAGUUAAUUUGUGUGUGACGUCAUACAAUUCCAUAGCAUUAAGUAACAUGCAGACUUUUAACAGAUCACCUUUACUGAAAAGAAUCAAAUUUCACAGAAUGAAGACUGUCCUGGAGAAUCUGGGGUGUGUGGUUGCUGUAGUAAUCGAUGCCUUCUAGAACAAAUCUGUGCUUGGCUAAUUACAGCCUUCUAUUUUUAAACUCAUCUACAUUCUUCUCCCCCAACCCCAACAUUGCUCACACGACUCCGGCAGUAAAAUACUGUUAUCUGUACAGCCCGUGCCCAUCUCAAAAUAACUUGUUUCCAGUCAGCCUCCGCCUGCUGUGGGAGGCAAGAGGCCGUGUUCCCCAACCACCUGGAAGGCCAAACGGACACCUCUGAAAGAACCCCAAACACUUAACAAAAUGGGAAGAAAACAGCAGCACAGACUUCCAGGGUUACCACUGCGUUGCAAGCACCCGCAGCCUGGGAGUCUGGGUGAGGCCGGCUGCGGGGUCAGGAUACCACCGCCCGGAGCCAGGCCUGGGCCCCACACUGCCUCCUGGGAAGCUCUUUGGUCACCAGCCAGAGAGGUGAUGGCAGAGCAGCGCUGGGGCCAACCCCACGGUCAGUCCAGCUCCUAUGGGACCAUCUCAGGUCAUCCCCGGGGCCGUGUCAAGGCCCAGUGCUCAAAGCCUGGGAAAAGGCUGCCAGCAGCCAUCCGCCCUCCGGAAGCCUGGCUGCCUGGGGGCGUGUUAACUCCAUCUGCAGGCCUGACUUCCCACAGCAGGGCUGUGGGUGCCGUGGAAACAGAUGAAGACCACCCAGUGACAGCAGGCAAGGGCUAUCAUUUGUCAGAACUUGCUGCAGCAAGAGGGGCAUCUGCACCAUCCCCGGCUGCCUUGGUUUGCUCUGGCUGUCGUAACAAGGCACCACGCGCUGCGGGCCUCAGACAGCAGAGAGGAAUUCUCUCACAGCUUUGGAGGCUGGAGUCUGAGAUCGGGGAAUCAGAAGAGCCAUGCUCCCCCUGGAAGGUGCUGGGGAGAAUCUGUCCCAGGCCUCCCUCCUAGCUUCCAGUGGCUUGUCGGUGACCUUUGGUGUUCCUUGACUUGUAAAUGCAUCCCUGGGUCUCUGUGCAGAUCUGUGUCCAAAUUUCUCCGUUUUAUAUGGACACCAGUCAUAUUGGAUGAGGGGCCCACCCUACUAGCUACUACGUCUUAGCUAAUUACAUCCACAGUGAUUCUAUUUCCAAAGAAGGGCACAUUCUGAGGUCCCGAGGAUCAGGACUUCAACACAGGAAUUCCUGGAGGACACAACUCAACGCAUAAGGCUGGCCUCUGGCCGAGACUCAAAAGCAAGCGAAGCAGGAAGUGGGAAAGCCUUUUGGUGAACAAGAGGGGCUUCAGGUGGGCCUGCUCCGGGCUUGUGCACAGGGAGGCAGGAAGCAGCAAACUAGAAGCGGGCAUCCUGUGUGGUUAGUUAUGAGAGCACAUACGCCUUUCUCUGGUUGGUCCUGAGCUGGAAGUCGGGCAGACGUUAGGGAAGUUGGCCGUUGCUGACUGAGUCCUGGCUGUUAUGGGCCGGUUGCUGCAGCGGCUCUGUUUUUAUGUAUGUAUGGUCUCUCCAUUGUAUGUUCAAUCUCUCAGUGCAAAUGACACCUCCUGAUGUUCUCAGGGUGCUUCUGGGGCUGGAAUUGGGGGCAGGUGGUCCAGAAGACCCAGCCCUGGAAGGACUCAGUGCCUCCAAGAGGAGGCCCAGGACGGGCAACCUCACAGGGCAGAUCCACACAGACCCGUGGGUCCCCUUCUGCAACCGCCUCUGUUGACGCCCACCAGGCUGAGCACAGACGCGCAGUGGGAAAGUGUGGGUACUUUGACUCUAGAGCCGCCGUCCUCUGGCUUUUUGGUUUAGCUCCCCUUGAAGGGCCCCAAAGAGCUUUUGCUGGGGAGAAAAGCUAUCAAUAUUUACCACAUUAGAACAAAGUGAUUUUUAAAAUAUCUAAUCCAUUACAUGUUCAUGUAAAUAACAUAAUUUUAUGAAAAAUAACUAUACUUUCCAGAAGAAAAAAUUGCAAGUGUGGCAUUAUUUUAAAUUUUUGCAGAUCUCCUGAAUGUCUAGCUGAAUAGAAGCCAGCUGGCAUCUCGUGCUUCUGCAUUCAGUCUGUUGGGGUCGCACACAUCAUGUAGCCUCUGGAAAACCCACACCACACUCACGAGAGUGAACAGAAGCUAAAAGCAUGGUAGAAUUACUGGGGAAAAUAGUUUUGACCUUGCAGACCCUCUGCAGUAUCUCAGGGACCCCCGGGCAUCCCCAGACCACCGCCAGAGACUCUUGCUUGUGGACCGAGGCUUGCGGACCCGCAGCGAGUCUGGGGCUUGCCGGGAUGUGGGAGGGAGGGGAUUAGUGACCACCCUGGUCAAACAGAAGCAUCUCACAAGUUAGAAAAGGCCCCAAGCCUGAGUGAAAAGAUAAGAAAUUUAAGACUGGGGUCAAAGUCAAGUGCUUUCAGUAUCUUCACCUCCCACCUGAAGAGGCAAAGGCAAAAAAAGUAGAAAUGGGGGGCAAAAAAUCCUUAUUGCUUGUUCCGUCUUUCCUCCACUAGUUCCAAGAUUAACAAUUGUUCCUUAGUGCCCGAGGGGUAUUGGUUCCAGGACCCACCCCCCAUCCCAGGACACCAGAAUCCCAAGAUGCUCAAAAAGUUUCAUGCAAAAUGACAUGGUAUUUGCAUAUAACCAGCACAUAUCCUCCCACAUACUUUAAAUCAUCUCUGGAUUACUUAUAAUACUGAAUACAACGUAAAUGCUGUGUUAAUAGUUGUAAAUACAGUGUAAAUGCUAUGUAAAUAGUUGUUGGUAUGUGGCAAAUUCAAGUUUUGCUUUUUGGAACUUUCUGGAACUCUUAUUUUCCAAAUAUUUUCUAUCCGAGGUUGGUGAAUCCAUGGGUGCAGAACCCUCAGAUGCGGAGGGCUGACCAUACAUGCCAUUAGAAACUGAUUGAACUGGUAGAUGCUGGGGAGCAUUAGCGUCUCCCCAGAACAGAGUCCUCAUUAGACCCACCCCAGCCAGGGGAGCCCAGGCGGGGAGCAGAGGGCAGCCACGGAGUGAUGGCGUGGGAGCUUCUUGCCUCUCCAGUCCUCUCCUCUCUCAGUUCCUCCCGCUCCCCUUUGUGUCUAACCACUCUGGGCUGCUUCUCCCUCCUCCUUCCCCCUGUGACGCAGGCGAAGCCUGAAGUACAGUUUACAUAACAUUUAAGAUGGAAGAAGUAGCUGGCUGGCCACUUACUAGAGUAAAUUAAGACUAAUAGUGAAAAAGGUAGAAAAGAAAGACCAAAGAUCAAAAGGUAAAAAGAAAACAAAAAAUUUUUAAUUAAAACUUUAAAAAACACACAAUUGCUGGAAUUCUAAUCCCUACUUCAUAUUGUAUCAUCCAAUGGAAGAGAGAGGGUCCUUCUUAUUUGUGUGUGUGUGUGUGUGUGUGUGUGUGUGUAUUUUUAUUGAAGUACAGUGUACAAUGUUGUGUCAAUUUCUGGUGUACAGCAUAAUGCAUGAACACACAUAUACUCGUUUUCAUGUUCUUUUCACCCUAAGUUACUACAAGAUAUUGAAUAUAGUUCCCUGUGCUAUACAGUAUAAGCUUGUUGUUUAUCUGUUUUAUAUGUAUAUUAGCUAGUAUCUGCAAAUCUCGAACUCCCAAUUUAUCCCUCUCUAGGCAGAACAAGGAGAGACUGCCUCCCAGUCCACAAGCCCAGGAAGGUCUCUCUGCCUCUCCUGGGUUCUGACUCGUUUACGUGUCCUUCCUUGGACCGGUUAUUGGUGGCCAGAGACGUGGGUUCCCUGACUGACGUAGGGAGCCUCCCCGGGAGCUGAGGCUGGGUUUCAGUCUCAUCAAAUCAUGAGGCUAAGAAUGCGGAGGGAAACAAAGUGGCUUAUAAAAAAGAAAGACUAAUUCAUGAAACUAAUUCAUGUUCAUGAAAGGAGGGGGCUUUAAAAAAAAAAAGAGUAAUGCCCUUCUUUAAAAUGGUUGAUUCUAUGUAAUGUGAAUUUUGCUUUAUUUAAAUAAUAAUAAUACCCUUAUUUUAAGUCAUGUGCAAUCUUUUAACUUUUUA